AAAAGGCUCAUCAUCCAUUGGGGUUUUUAAAUUAUUAUUAAUUUUAUUAUUUUGCAGGGCUCUAAUUAGGUUGGCAGUGCUUAUCUGGCAUCCUCUUAUUGCCACAGGGCAGCAGCCAGCACCCCCAGUGACAGACCCAGUUGUGUAAGGCUCUUGUUUUCCUACAGCAAGGAGCAUUCUUUGUGUGCAAGUCUGAGGCUGUGUGUACACGUGUGUGAACUCUCCAAAGGCAAACAACUCACCUUUAGAAAGCCAAAUUCCAAGCAAGAAACGAGCUCAGCAGCUGUGAAAGGUGUCUCUGUGUUUCAUUGUUGAUAAAAGUACAACCCACAGUGACUCAAACCUCAGGAUAUGGUGGGGAACCAAGAAGAAAAGAAAGAGAGUGGGGAAGAAAGGGGAAAAAGCCUUCUCAGGAUGAGGAGUUCAGACAUGCCAGAUUUCUUUGGCACAGACAUUGCUGUCAGGAGCCUUGUGGAUGUUUGAGUCCCUGCUUUCUUUUUGUUGGCUCUGAGCAUUUUGAAAGAUUUUGAAAACAGUACUGUAAAGUGUUUAGCUGCAAAGCUGACCAGUGAGUGCCACAGCCAGCAUCUCCUACACAGGCUGACAGUGCAGGCAGAAACCUGUCACCUCAGGGCUGUCACCAAUCUGCCAUUAACCUGCAGCUCCUCACUGUGACAUAGAUGUCAAUGGUCAUUUUCCUUCACAUCAGCCUUUUCUUCAACUCCCAUGGGUAAGCACAGGGCAGCCACUGGAAGGGCAGUGAGAAAAGGAAAGGGAAAAGCUGGUCUGGAAGCUGAGCACUAAAAGUAGGCAUUGAUUUCCUAUCGUAGAGAUGACGUGUUUGAAUUUACUGAGCUCCUUUGGAUUGAAAGGCAUUUAUCCAGCCACAGGGACUGCCAGGUGUGCUGUGCUCAGAUGAAAUAAUACUUUAGCAUUGGUUCCAAGGCCCUGGAUUUGCCUCCACCAGCUCCAGCCAUCUGGCUCAGGCACAGCUUCUUUCUGAAGUGACUUGAAGCUUGGUGGCAUCAGAGUUCCUCCUGUGAUGCUGUCAGAAAUUUAGCUGUAGGAGCACAAGCUCAGGCACGAGGAAGGAACUAAACAAUCCUGUCACAGACAGCACCUAACUAACAGAACAGGUCUUUUUUUUCUACUGAACAUGUAUAUUCCUGACUUGCAGUGGAAGAGGAGUGUGGCUACAAGAUGUAUGGAGAGCAGAAUGCUGCAGGGAAUGAAAAAAAUAAGAAAUGGAGUAAAUGGAGGGAAGGCUGUAUGGGCUGGUCACCAGUGUAGGAUCUCCUGUCAGGUCUAUUGAGCUGACCGAGGCUGAUCCAGCACAGAGGUGCAGUGCCUGGUCCCCAGAGGAGAGCUCAGCCUGAGCCUCUGCAGCAGUGAGGAUUGCAUUCCUGCUGCUGGAAUACAGGAAUGCUGGAGAGCACCUAAGGAGAACAGGUGUUAUUGAUAGAUUUACACUGAUUUACAGUGCUCCCCCUCCUCCUCAGGCCACUGCAGAGGCCCUGGAGGCUCACACCUGCACAGAGAUGGGAGCCAAGGUGAGCUGCUCUGCAUCACCUGCACUGGUGAUGGUGAUGCUGACAGGAGUGGGAUUUCAGCAUCCCUGGGAGGAGUUUGCCUUUGAGAACAGCAGCUUGUGUCCUUUUAACUUCCAAAGAGGAGUCCUGUGAGCUCUGAGUGUCUGGAAAGGACCAGAUCCAGGAAUAACUGCAGUGGUACCAAGAACCUCAGCAGGCACUGACACCUGACCCAUGCCAUGCCUUGUGGGGUUUGAUCUCUGGUGGCUCAGAGAUGCCACAGCAGCCUGCAGGGUGUCACACACAGCUCCUCUGGGCACAGGGAGAAGCCACAGUUAAGUGAUUUCCAUAGGAACAAAGCAGUCCCUUGCUGUGAUGCAACUGCCUCUGGGUUUAAACAUUUCUGGUUAACUCCAGCUCAGAUGCAAAGCAGAUCUGUUUCUUAGACAAAAAAGGAAAAUCAAGAGAGAAGAAUUGGAUGGAGGGGAAGAAUUUGAUUUGUGAGGGCUCUUUUCAGAAAGUACCAUGAGAUCUUAAAGAAGGCAGCAGGAUUAGAGCUCCUAUUGCUUGUGAAUUGCCUGAACUGCAUGAGUGAGCUUUAAGGAGAGCAGUAAUGAAGAAAUAAAACAGCUUACAAGCUACACCAGCCCUGGAAAAUAGGAGCAUUUCACAAAUGGCUUCAUCUUCUUUGACUGGUGAUACCCAACAGAUAUUUUGUGAGAAAUAAAAUGCACUUCACAGCUCUCUCUGGCACGUGCUAUAAUUGCAAUCAACAUUUCUGUGUAUCAUAAAAAUGAUGAAGAUGAUGAUGAUGGCCACUGUUUCCCUCCUCUUUGCUGCAAGAAAAGAGCUGACUGCAACAGGAUGUGCUGUUUUCUGUCUAUGUGCACUUUGCUUUCUCAACAGAAAAGACAAAAAAAAAAAAGGGAAAACAAAAACUGAAGACUGAAAAUGGAAGAAAACAAAACAGAUCUUGGUGCUUGUGUUUCUUUGCACUGGGAGAGAAAGAAAUGAGAGUUAAAAUAUCUAGAUUUUAUAAAGAUACAAUGAAAACUCGAUAACAAAUCCAUAACAAAUAUCACUGAUAAUGUACAAAAUGAUAAAAUCACAUUUUCAUGCUCUUUUUGGGUUGUUUUAUUUGUUCAUACUGCCAAUCACUUCCUCUUUGAGGGAGGAAGGUAAACAGAGACACCAGAUAAAUGGCUUGAGGUGGCUAGAAAUGGCAAAAGCAAAAAUAAUGAUAGCUCAGAGUGUCUCCUUAUGGAGCUUGUGCUCCAGCUCAUGCUGAUGGAAUUAAUUAUUAUAUUGUGGAUCUUGCUUGUCAAGCACAGGAGUUCUCCUUGCCCCAGAGCUGUGUAGCUCAACCCCAGCCAUGGAACUAAAUUGGCAAACUCCUCACAAUUACUUGAGGAGUAAGAAUUUGGUCAAAGGUACAGGUGAAAAGGCUGGAUGGGCUGAUGAAAGGUAUUCCCCAAAUGAAGGAAAUCCUGUCCAGAUGAAGAGGUCACCUCAUCUGCAAGCCUGAGGCACUGCAGGGAUAAUAAUCCCCAGGUUCAAGCGUUAACGGGAGAAUAAAAGACAAAUGGAGCCAUUUGUCAUUUAUUUCCAAAUAAAUGCAAGUUCAUUUUG
Melospiza melodia melodia is the source of this 3158-nucleotide long non-coding RNA. RefSeq lists it as uncharacterized. Lineage: Eukaryota; Metazoa; Chordata; Aves; Passeriformes; Passerellidae. The transcript has 4 exons. The record is from RefSeq and is a predicted model, not a curated record.